Ictidomys tridecemlineatus (thirteen-lined ground squirrel) is the source of this 71-nucleotide non-coding RNA. The record is from Rfam. Lineage: Eukaryota; Metazoa; Chordata; Mammalia; Rodentia; Sciuridae.
GGGGUUGUGGCUCAGUGGUAGAGCACUCACCUAGCACGUGUGAGGCCCUGGGUUUGAUUCUCUCAGCACCA